RNAcentral lists this small RNA (3885 nucleotides) under Pan troglodytes (chimpanzee). RNAcentral describes it as "processed transcript". Lineage: Eukaryota; Metazoa; Chordata; Mammalia; Primates; Hominidae. The record is from RNAcentral.
UUAUGAGAGAAAGGCAGAGGGAGAUUUGACACACACAGGAGGGGCCAUGUGGAGACAGAGGUGGAGACUGGAGAAAUGUGGCCACAAGCCAGGGAACACCAGCAGCCACCAGAAGCCGGAAGACGUGAGGCAGGGUUCUUCCCAGAGCCUUCGCUGCUGAGUCUGGGAAUUUGUUACCGAAGCCAUAAGAAGUGGGCACACGCCCUGAGCCUCCCACACUUGCUCACCUGUCCUGAGAUGAGAAUCUCUACUCUGCAGCAUAUUUGGAGGAUCACUGCGGGGGCCACAGAGGUGCUGUUCAGAUGGCACUUCAGAAGACUCAGGAGACCCUGGGGCAGGAGCAGUUUGACUGACAGCCCAGAGGGCUGCCCUCUGAUUCCACCUGAGGCCCUGCUUUUCCUGGCUGCAGGGGUUCCAGGGCCAGGCCAUUUCCGCUGGCGCAGGACUCUGCUAGCAGCAACCUGCCUGAAGUCUUCCUUUGGCCUGGCUGAGAGUUUCUGAGACCUGCGCUGGAGCGGAGGUGCUUCCUUCCUUGCUUCCCUUCUUCCUCUCUCCCUUCUCCAUCCAGCAGGCUGGACCUGCCUGGCAUCUGUGAGCUCUCCCUACUUUCUCCUACACCCUAACCUUUGUCCUGCACGGGCGACUCCCCCAGUGAGUCUCUUGCAGCUUUUACCCCAGUGCCUGCUUCUUGGAGAAUCCAAACUGAUCCAGUUAGGGAUGAUAAAGUGUAGGGUAGGCGCUCGGUGACUGUUUUCUCUGAGGUUGUGACUCGUGUGAGGCAGAAGCAGUUCCCGUGAGCCCUCCUGGUAUCUUGUGGAGUGGAGAACGCUUGGACCUGGAGCCAGGAGGCCCAGACAUACAUCCUGUCCGAGCUGCAGCUUCCUGUCUCUAAAAUGAGCCGGCCAGCACAGGUGGCCAGACGUCACUGUUAUUCUCCUUUGAGUCUUUAAAUCUUGUUGUCUUUCUUGCAGACUCGGUGAGCUGUGGAAAGGCUAUAAUAGGGGCUUUAUUUUACACUUUGAUACUAUUUUUUGAACAUUCAUAUUAUUGUUAGAUAUUGAUAUUCAUAUGAAGGAGCAGGAUGAGUUGGGUCCUUCUUGGCAGUAGCAUUGCCAGCUGAUGGCCUUGGACAGUUACCUGCCCUCUCUAGGCCUCCCUUUCCUUGUCUAUGAAAUACAUUAUAGAAUAGGAUGUAGUGUGUGAGGAUUUUUUGGAGGUUAAACGAGUGAAUAUAUUUAAGGCGCUUUCACCAGCGCCUGGGAUGUGCUCUGUAGUUUCUGUGUGUUAACUAUAAGGUUGACUUUAUGCUCAUUCCCUCCUCUCCCACAAAUGUCGCCUUGGAAAGAUGGAGGCAGCCUGGUGGAGGUGUAUCUCCUAGACACCAGCAUACAGAGUGACCACCGGGAAAUCGAGGGCAGGGUCAUGGUCACCGACUUCGAGAAUGUGCCCGAGGAGGACGGGACCCGCUUCCACAGACAGGCCAGCAAGUGUGACAGUCAUGGCACCCACCUGGCAGGGGUGGUCAGCGGCCGGGAUGCCGGCGUGGCCAAGGGUGCCAGCAUGCGCAGCCUGCGCGUGCUCAACUGCCAAGGGAAGGGCACGGUUAGCGGCACCCUCAUAGGCCUGGAGUUUAUUCGGAAAAGCCAGCUGGUCCAGCCUGUGGGGCCACUGGUGGUGCUGCUGCCCCUGGCGGGUGGGUACAGCCGCGUCCUCAACGCCGCCUGCCAGCGCCUGGCGAGGGCUGGGGUUGUGCUGGUCACCGCUGCCGGCAACUUCCGGGACGAUGCCUGCCUCUACUCCCCAGCCUCAGCUCCCGAGGGGAGGACAUCAUUGGUGCCUCCAGCGACUGCAGCACCUGCUUUGUGUCACAGAGUGGGACAUCACAGGCUGCUGCCCACGUGGCUGGCAUUGCAGCCAUGAUGCUGUCUGCCGAGCCGGAGCUCACCCUGGCCGAGUUGAGGCAGAGACUGAUCCACUUCUCUGCCAAAGAUGUCAUCAAUGAGGCCUGGUUCCCUGAGGACCAGCGGGUACUGACCCCUAACCUGGUGGCCGCCCUGCCCCCCAGCACCCAUGGGGCAGGUUGGCAGCUGUUUUGCAGGACUGUGUGGUCAGCACACUCGGGGCCUACACGGAUGGCCACAGCCGUCGCCCGCUGCGCCCCAGAUGAGGAGCUGCUGAGCUGCUCCAGUUUCUCCAGGAGUGGGAAGCGGCGGGGCGAGCGCAUGGAGGCUGCAGCUCCCACUGGGAGGUGGAGGACCUUGGCACCCACAAGCCGCCUAUGCUGAGGCCACGAGGUCAGCCCAACCAGUGCGUGGGCCACAGGGAGGCCAGCAUCCACGCUUCCUGCUGCCGUGCCCCAGGUCUGGAAUGCAAAGUCAAGGAGCAUGGAAUCCCGGCCCCUCAGGAGCAGGUGACCGUGGCCUGCGAGGAGGGCUGGACCCUGACUGGCUGCAGUGCCCUCCCUGGGACCUCCCACGUCCUGGGGGCCUACGCCGUAGACAACACGUGUGUAGUCAGGAGCCGGGACGUCAGCACUGCAGGCAGCACCAGUGAAGAGGCCGUGGCAGCCGUUGCCAUCUGCUGCCGGAGCCGGCACCUGGCACAGGCCUCCCAGGAGCUCCAGUGACAGCCCCAUCCCAGGAUGGGUGUCUGGGGAGGGUCAAGGGCUGGGGCUGAGCUUUAAAAUGGUUCCGACUUGUCCCUCUCUCAGCCCUCCGUGGCCUGGCACGAGGGGAUGGGGAUGCUUCCGCCUUUCUGGGGCUGCUGGCCUGGCCCUUGAGUGGGGCAGGCUCCUUGCCUGGAACUCACUCACUCUGGAUGCCUCCUCCCCAGGUGGAGGUGCCAGGAAGCUCCCUCCCUCACUGUGGGGCAUUUCACCAUUGAAACAGGUCGAGCUGUGCUCGGGUGCUGCCAGCUGCUCCCAAUGUGCCGACGUCCGUGGGCAGAAUGACUUUUAGUGAGCUCUUGUUCCAUGCCAGGCAUUCAAUCCUCAGGUCUCCACCAAGGAGGCAGGAUUCUUCCCAUGGAUAGGGGAGGGAGUGGUAGGGGCUGCAGGGACAAACAUCGUUGAGGGGGUGAGUGUGAAAGGUGCUGAUGGCCCUCAUCUCCAGCUAACUGUGGAGAAGCCCCUGGGGGCUCCCUGAUUAAUGGAGGCUUAGCUUUCUGGAUGGCAUCUAGCCAGAGGCUGGAGACAGGUGCGCCCCUGGUGGUCACAGGCUGUGCCUUGGUUUCCUGAGCCACCUUUACUCUGCUCUAUGCCAGGCUGUGCUAGCAACACCCAAGGGUGGCCUGCGGGGAGCCAUCACCUAGGACUGACUCGGCAGUGUGCAGUGGUGCACGCACUGUCUCAGCCAACCCGCUCCACUACCCGGCGGGGUACACAUUCGCACCCCUACUUCACAGAGGAAGAAACCUGGAACCAGAGGGGGCGUGCCUGCCAAGCUCACACAGCAGGAACUGAGCCAGAAACGCAGAUUGGGCUGGCUCUGAAGCCAAGCCGCUUCUUACUUUACCCGGCUGGGCUCCUCAUUUUUACGGGUAACAGUGAGGCUGGGAAGGGGAACACAGACCAGGAAGCUCGGUGAGUGAUGGCAGAACGAUGCUGCAGGCACGGAACUUUUUCCGUUAUCACCUGGGCCUGAUUCACUGGCCUGGCGGAGAUGCUUCUAAGGCAUGGUCGGGGGAGAGGGACAACUGUCCCUCCUUGAGCACCAGCCCCACCCAAGCAAGCAGACAUUUAUCUUUUGGGUCUGUCCUCUCUGUUGCCUUUUUACAGCCAACUUUUCUAGACCUGUUUUGCUUUUGUAACUUGAAGAUAUUUAUUCUGGGUUUUGUAGCAUUUUUAUUAAUAUGGUGACUUUUUAAAAUAAAAACAAACGUUGUCCU